Molecule: ribosomal RNA, 139 nt
Filed under: [Clostridium] aminophilum
Lineage: Bacteria; Bacillati; Bacillota; Clostridia; Lachnospirales; Lachnospiraceae
Description: 16S rRNA. Bacterial SSU
Rfam family: Bacterial small subunit ribosomal RNA
Source: RNAcentral
CUGGCUCAGGAUGAACGCUGGCGGCGUGCCUAACACAUGCAAGUCGAACGGAAAUUGCAGAAGGAAGUUUUCGGAUGGAAUUUUGUAAUUUUAGUGGCGGACGGGUGAGUAACACGUGGGUAACCUGCCCUGUACCGGG